RNAcentral lists this ribosomal RNA (389 nucleotides) under uncultured bacterium. RNAcentral describes it as "bacterial SSU rRNA". It matches the Rfam family "Bacterial small subunit ribosomal RNA", at positions 30 to 416 of the family's 1533-position model. The record is from RNAcentral.
AUUGAACGCUGGCGGCAUGCCUUACACAUGCAAGUCGAACGGCAGCACGGGAGCUUGCUCCUGGUGGCGAGUGGCGAACGGGUGAGUAAUACAUCGGAACGUACCCUGAAGUGGGGGGAUAACGUAGCGAAAGUUACGCUAAUACCGCAUAUUCUGUGAGCAGGAAAGAGGGGGAUCGCAAGACCUCUUGCUUUAGGAGCGGCCGAUGUCGGAUUAGGUAGUUGGUGGGGUAAAGGCUCACCAAGCCAACGAUCUGUAGCUGGUCUGAGAGGACGACCAGCCACACUGGAACUGAGACACGGUCCAGACUCCUACGGGAGGCAGCAGUGGGGAAUUUUGGACAAUGGGCGCAAGCCUGAUCCAGCCAUUCCGCGUGCAGGAUGAAGGCC